This 1519-nucleotide long non-coding RNA is filed under the name Anas platyrhynchos platyrhynchos (common mallard). Its description in RNAcentral is "lncRNA (ENSAPLG00000027127.1)". The record is from RNAcentral. Lineage: Eukaryota; Metazoa; Chordata; Aves; Anseriformes; Anatidae.
GUUGUGAUAGGCAUCUGCACUGAACAAUCUAUAAAUAAAGGAAUGUGGGAGACUAUACAUCAUAAAUAUUUAUUUCCCAGUUUAUGUUUCCCUAUCCAUCAGACAGACCUGUGGCUGAGGCUGAAAAUGUAUUUGUGAUUAACACUUGUAGCAGCUGCAAAACGAGCAGUGGGGACAUCUCAUGGUCUUUAUUAAUUUAGAGGUAGUGGGAAAGUGGGACCAAGUUUCUUAAAACUGUGUCCCAGUGGCUUUCCUGACACAUUGCACAACACGAGCUAGCCAGAUGUUCAAAUUGCCUCUGGAGACAAAAUGAACAUAGCUUUUGAUAUCAGUGUGACUUCUGUCUCUGUCAGAGAGCCACCCCCACAAGUGAAGAGCCGCUCUCAGCAGUUGCUGCCCACAAGCCCACAUCCAUUCUGCACUGCCGGGUAUGUGGCAAGAAAAGCAACAGAAAGACUUCAAGAGGGACCGACUUUCAAGUUCAAAUGCAGAAUGGAACAAAACCUCACAACUUGCUAGAAAAUGAAGAUGGGUUUCAGUCACAAAAUGGAGGAUGGAGCUUUGUUGGGAGACAAGAGAGCUGAUACUCAGGAGAAACAAGUGACGCGGUUUGAUGUGGUCAAGAAAGGAGCUGGAGAGAGGAUCAGAGUCAUCUGAUGCAAUCAGAAGGCUAAGCAGGAUGCUGCUGCAAUAGCUUGUGACGUAAGAUGGUGAGAUCUUGGCUAGCAGAAACCGGUCCUUGAACAGUGGGAAAAACCUCCCUUUUACAGCUGGAGUGGAGGAAGUGUCUGAACAGAAAAAUAACUUGGAUGGAUUGCUCAGUGGAGAAAGCUUAACCAAAAAUGGCAUCUUCUUAUGAGCAUGAGAGUUACUGAAGGAAACACAAAAUCCCAAGGAAAAGAAAUGUAAAUAUUUCUUGCUUAAGAAGAACUAUUUUGGGGUCUGCAACACAGGAGGGGGGCUCAUUGCCAGAAAUAUCCUGAAAAACAAGGAUCAGAUUUAGUGGUCUGACAGUACCAACAGGCUGAUGUCCCUGUUGAGCAUUUAAAUCUGCCAAAAUUACAUUGUAUAGCUAAAGUAUAAACUGCAGUCUCUGAAGAAGUCUGUGUGCCCUGGUAACACUGGCUGCACCUAGCCCAGGGAAGGAGAUAACAGCAGUUAACACCUCCUUACCAAUGCAUCUUCCAACACCACUGCAGACAAACAAUUUUAUGUAAGACUGAUCUAAACUUGGCAGCACCCUUCCUGUUGCAAGAGACUUCAUCAAGCUAGACGUGGCCAUCCUGCCGCUUGUGCUGCCCGUGUUGUGCAGCUGCAAGCCUGUCUAUGCCUGUUCCUCUCCUCAGUACAGCUGGUGGAGAAGGGCUUCUGUGCAAGUGGAAGUGGUAUCUGGUUUCUCACUGCUUUCUCAUUUAACAAAGACACAGCAGAGCCCUGCACAUACCCAGCCUCAAGUAAAGGGGAUAGACUGAUUCUGCCUCUUCAAACAACAUAUGAUUUGGUUGAUGGGAUUUCUUUU